CGGUUGGGCAGGAUUAGCCGCUCCGGGGUCAGGUGUGAGGUCCGCCCUAGUCUCAGGAGCCGCUGGGCCCGGCUGCAGAGGCCGCCUUCCAGGAUCCCAGGCGCCUACGUCCUCCGACGCGGUGCGAAGGCGCCAGGUUUAAUAUACAACAGCAAGGAACAUCCCGGAGGCUGCCAGCUAGUGUGACUUCGUGUUUCUGUGCUACGUGAGACUAGUGUCCUCGUCUUCCAUCGUGACAACCCUUCUGUCUCCCCCAACCCCCUCCCCCCACAGUGCCAACGGGCUCUGGGCAAAGCUGCCCCGUUUUCUUUUAACCUAAGGGAUGCCAUGGUUUGGCUGACUACAUUUGACUGCCACCACUGAAGGCAGCUGAUGUCUCAAGCGGCUGGAUACUGUGGCGAUGGAAAUCAGAGGAGGAGACCGCAGUCAAAAGAAAGUUACUUUGCAACUGAUUUCCUCUCUUGGGACUGAAAAUUUAAACAGAUACUAAAUUAUGACAGCGAAUUUAGAAAGGAGGGCUCCAAGGGCUUGAAAAACCAUAUCUGGGAUAAUAUGAUGCUUCUACGAAUAUUGCGAUCACAUCGUGGCGAUCACAUCGUGGCGAUCACCGGAGCAUGCCGCAUAACUACCUCUUUGGCUAAUAUGCUUUCUUCUUGGUGAUGACUAAUCAUCUUCUAUUAAACAGCAGUAAUGCUGGAAGAACUCAACUAUACACGUGUAAUGAAGCCAGUAUUCUCCCUGGACAGAUUAGCUACAACUGAUUUGACACAUACCAUUAUAAGGGCUUCAAACCUGACAAACUCUGUCCUUGCUACUGAUGUAUGCCGUCAAGCUCCUCAGAGAAGAGAUGGGAUCCAAGUGUUCUGCUUGGUAGUACUGAUGUGCUUAACUGCCAGUUAAGGAAAGUUGCCCGUCCC
This is a long non-coding RNA of Symphalangus syndactylus (siamang), 917 nucleotides long. RefSeq lists it as uncharacterized. The record is from RefSeq and is a predicted model, not a curated record. Lineage: Eukaryota; Metazoa; Chordata; Mammalia; Primates; Hylobatidae.